Molecule: non-coding RNA, 319 nt
Organism: Schizosaccharomyces pombe (fission yeast)
Lineage: Eukaryota; Fungi; Ascomycota; Schizosaccharomycetes; Schizosaccharomycetales; Schizosaccharomycetaceae
Source: the annotation of a GenBank genome assembly
GUUUGAUUAAAAAAAAGUAAACUUGCAGUUCAGGUGAAUGGAGAAGUGCAGAUUAAUUUUUUUUGUAAUAAAAAGUAAGAAACCAACGGGGACUCUUUACACAAAAAUAAAAAUAAAAAAUGGGGGAAAGGGGAAACGAGAACUAGGUCAAGACUAAGAUUAAAAGGGAAAACUAAAAAUCAAGACCAAACUAGGAAAGAUGGGAUCGUAGCAAAUUCACCAAAAAAAAGGAGCGGGAAUUUAAUGGACCAAAAAAAGCAAAAGAAAAAAAUUUUCUAAGCAAUUUAGGAAGAGAUAUUGAUUGAUGGGAAGAAACUAU